UGGGGAAUAUUGCGCAAUGGGGGAAACCCGUGACGCAGCAACGCCGCGUGAAGGAUGAAGGCUUUCGGGUUGUAAACUUCUUUGAUCGGGGACGAAGAUGACGGUACCCGGGGAACAAGCCACGGCUAACUACGUGCCAGCAGCCGCGGUAAUACGUAGGUGGCAAGCGUUGUCCGGAAUUACUGGGUGUAAAGGGCGUGUAGGCGGGGCGGCAAGUCAGAUGUGAAAUACCGUGGCUUAACUGCGGGGGUGCAUCUGAAACUGCUGCUCUUGAGUGUCGGAGAGGAAAGUGGAAUUCCCAGUGUAGCGGUGAAAUGCGUAGAGAUUGGGAGGAACACCAGUGGCGAAGGCGGCUUUCUGGACGAUAACUGACGCUGAGGCGCGAAGGCGUGGGUAGCAAACAGGAUUAGAUACCCUGGUAGUCCACGCCGUAAACGAUGGAUACUAGGUGUAGGAGGUAUCGACCCCUUCUGUGCCGCAGUUAACACAAUAAGUAU
This 497-nucleotide ribosomal RNA is filed under the name uncultured Bacillota bacterium. RNAcentral describes it as "bacterial SSU rRNA". It matches the Rfam family "Bacterial small subunit ribosomal RNA", at positions 355 to 867 of the family's 1533-position model. Lineage: Bacteria; Bacillati; Bacillota. The record is from RNAcentral.